UGGGGAAUAUUGCACAAUGGGCGCAAGCCUGAUGCAGCCAUGCCGCGUGUAUGAAGAAGGCCUUCGGGUUGUAAAGUACUUUCAGCGGGGAGGAAGGCGAUAAGGUUAAUAACCUUGUCGAUUGACGUUACCCGCAGAAGAAGCACCGGCUAACUCCGUGCCAGCAGCCGCGGUAAUACGGAGGGUGCAAGCGUUAAUCGGCAUUACUGGGCGUAAAGCGCACGCAGGCGGUCUGUCAAGUCGGAUGUGAAAUCCCCGGGCUCAACCUGGGAACUGCAUUCGAAACUGGCAGGCUAGAGUCUUGUAGAGGGGGGUAGAAUUCCAGGUGUAGCGGUGAAAUGCGUAGAGAUCUGGAGGAAUACUGGUGGCGAAGGCGGCCCCCUGGACAAAGACUGACGCUCAGGUGCGAAAGCGUGGGGAGCAAACA
Molecule: ribosomal RNA, 427 nt
Filed under: uncultured bacterium
Lineage: Bacteria
Description: partial 16S ribosomal RNA
Rfam family: Bacterial small subunit ribosomal RNA
Source: RNAcentral